GACGAACGCUGGCGGCGUGCUUAACACAUGCAAGUCGAACGGUGAAGCGCCUUCCUUUUUGGUGGGUGUGGAUGAGUGGCGAACGGGUGAGUAACACGUGAGUAACCUGCCCCCUUCUUCUGGAUAACCGCAUGAAAGUGUGGCUAAUACGGGAUAUUCUGGGUCUGUCGCAUGAUGGGUCUGGGAAAGAUAUUGUUUCGGUGGGGGAUGGGCUCGCGGCCUAUCAGCUUGUUGGUGGGGUGAUGGCCUACCAAGGCGGUGACGGGUAGCCGGCCUGGGAGGGUGGACGGUCACACUGGGACUGAGACACGGCCCAGACUGCUACGGGAGGCAGCAGUGGGGAAUAGUGCACAAUGGGCGCAAGCCUGAUGCAGCGACGCCGCGUGAGGGAUGGAGGCCUUCGGGUUGUGAACCUCUUUCGCCAGUGAAGCAGGCCUGCCUCGUUUGUGGGUGGGUUGACGGUAGCUGGAUAAGAAGCGCCGGCUAACUACGUG
RNAcentral lists this ribosomal RNA (494 nucleotides) under uncultured bacterium. RNAcentral's name for it is "partial 16S ribosomal RNA". It matches the Rfam family "Bacterial small subunit ribosomal RNA", at positions 28 to 507 of the family's 1533-position model. The record is from RNAcentral.